UAACAAAGAGAAGCAAAGCCGCGAGGUAGAGCAAAUCUCAAAAAAAACAUCUCAGUUCAGACUGCAGGCUGCAACUCGCCUGCACGAAGUCGGAAUUGCUAGUAAUCGUAGGUCAGCAUACUACGGUGAAUACGUUCCCGGGCCUUGUACACACCGCCCGUCAAACCAUGAGAGUUGGCAACACCCGAAGUCGGUAGUCUAACCGCAAGGAGGACGCCGCCGAAGGUGGGGUUGAUGAUUAGGGUUAAGUCGUAACAAGGUACC
This 264-nucleotide ribosomal RNA is filed under the name uncultured bacterium. RNAcentral describes it as "partial 16S ribosomal RNA". It matches the Rfam family "Bacterial small subunit ribosomal RNA", at positions 1237 to 1500 of the family's 1533-position model. The record is from RNAcentral.